AUUGAACGCUGGCGGCAUGCUUUACACAUGCAAGUCGAACGGUAGACCCUUUCGGGGGUUGAGAGUGGCGAACGGGUGAGUAAUGCAUCGGAACGUGCCUAGUCGUGGGGGAUAACGUAGCGAAAGUUACGCUAAUACCGCAUACGCACUGAGGUGGAAAGCGGGGGACCGUAAGGCCUCGCGCGAUUGGAGCGGCCGAUGUCGGAUUAGCUAGUUGGUGAGGUAAAGGCUCACCAAGGCGACGAUCCGUAGCGGGUCUGAGAGGAUGAUCCGCCACACUGGGACUGAGACACGGCCCAGACUCCUACGGGAGGCAGCAGUGGGGAAUUUUGGACAAUGGGCGCAAGCCUGAUACAGCCAUGCCGCGUGCGGGAAGAAGGCCU
Molecule: ribosomal RNA, 383 nt
Filed under: uncultured bacterium
Lineage: Bacteria
Description: bacterial SSU rRNA
Rfam family: Bacterial small subunit ribosomal RNA
Source: RNAcentral